RNAcentral lists this ribosomal RNA (336 nucleotides) under Bacillus sp. DD1. Its description in RNAcentral is "bacterial SSU rRNA". It matches the Rfam family "Bacterial small subunit ribosomal RNA", at positions 47 to 374 of the family's 1533-position model. Lineage: Bacteria; Bacillati; Bacillota; Bacilli; Caryophanales; Bacillaceae. The record is from RNAcentral.
AUCUAUACAUGCAGUCGAGCGGACAGAAGGGAGCUUGCUCCCGGAUGUUAGCGGCGGACGGGUGAGUAACACGUGGGUAACCUGCCUGUAAGACUGGGAUAACUCCGGGAAACCGGAGCUAAUACCGGAUAGUUCCUUGAACCGCAUGGUUCAAGGAUGAAAGACGGUUUCGGCUGUCACUUACAGAUGGACCCGCGGCGCAUUAGCUAGUUGGUGAGGUAACGGCUCACCAAGGCGACGAUGCGUAGCCGACCUGAGAGGGUGAUCGGCCACACUGGGACUGAGACACGGCCCAGACUCCUACGGGAGGCAGCAGUAGGGAAUCUUCCGCAAUGG